UGAGCCUAACCCACGGCAAUCCACUUCGGCGCCCAAUCCCGCACGGCGAAUAUGUAUCGCGAUGGCUAUCUCCGGAGUGCCGGCUUGUAGGGAGCGACCCUCACAAGCAUGUGCGAAUGAGCACAAUGGCAAGUAUCGUAAGAUCCGUCUCAAGUACCAAGUCCUCAUGUCUACAAACAUGGAAUAUACAUCGAAUGUCUCAAAGGCCUAUCUCUAUGUCAUCAUGUCUAAAACAUGGAAAUAAUAGAUAUCAAUGGCCUAUCACUACGUCUCAAAGUAGCAGUUUCAUAGUCUACUAAGUCAAGUGCCCUUUGAUGGCAUUUUUAUUCGCUAAGUCCAAGCUUGAAUCAAAUGUUCACAAAUGCAUAAUUCGAGCUAUUUUAAGCAUACGAGACAAGCUUCCAAUUCGCUACCAUGAACACUUCUCACAUGUAUGUAUAAUACCCAGAAUGCUCUACUAUAUAGAGUGAAAUUUAUCUUACACAUAACACAUGCAUUUUAAGUGUUCUAAAAUUCA
RNAcentral lists this long non-coding RNA (517 nucleotides) under Ananas comosus (pineapple). RNAcentral describes it as "long non-coding RNA (ACOM_LNC003918)". The record is from RNAcentral. Lineage: Eukaryota; Viridiplantae; Streptophyta; Magnoliopsida; Poales; Bromeliaceae.